RNAcentral lists this ribosomal RNA (372 nucleotides) under uncultured organism. RNAcentral's name for it is "partial 16S ribosomal RNA". It matches the Rfam family "Bacterial small subunit ribosomal RNA", at positions 527 to 896 of the family's 1533-position model. The record is from RNAcentral.
GUAGGUGGCAAGCGUUGUCCGGAAUUAUUGGGCGUAAAGCGCGCGCAGGCGGUUCUUUAAGUCUGAUGUGAAAGCCCACGGCUCAACCGUGGAGGGUCAUUGGAAACUGGAGAACUUGAGUACAGAAGAGGAAAGCGGAAUUCCACGUGUAGCGGUGAAAUGCGUAGAGAUGUGGAGGAACACCAGUGGCGAAGGCGGCUUUCUGGGCUGUAACUGACGCUGAGGCGCGAAAGCGUGGGGAGCAAACAGGGAUUAGAUACCCUGGUAGUCCACGCCGUAAACGAUGAGUGCUAAGUGUUAGGGGGUUUCCGCCCCCUUAGUGCUGCAGCUAACGCAUUAAGCACUCCGCCUGGGGAUACGGCCGCAAGGCUG